UGGUGCUUGACGAGACAAGGACACCGC
Molecule: non-coding RNA, 27 nt
Filed under: Homo sapiens (human)
Lineage: Eukaryota; Metazoa; Chordata; Mammalia; Primates; Hominidae
Source: RNAcentral